Molecule: ribosomal RNA, 490 nt
Filed under: Klebsiella pneumoniae
Lineage: Bacteria; Pseudomonadati; Pseudomonadota; Gammaproteobacteria; Enterobacterales; Enterobacteriaceae
Description: partial 23S ribosomal RNA
Rfam family: Bacterial large subunit ribosomal RNA
Source: RNAcentral
GGGACACGUGGUAUCCUGUCUGAAUAUGGGGGGACCAUCCUCCAAGGCUAAAUACUCCUGACUGACCGAUAGUGAACCAGUACCGUGAGGGAAAGGCGAAAAGAACCCCGGCGAGGGGAGUGAAAAAGAACCUGAAACCGUGUACGUACAAGCAGUGGGAGCACCUUCGGGUGUGACUGCGUACCUUUUGUAUAAUGGGUCAGCGACUUAUAUUCUGUAGCAAGGUUAACCGUAUAGGGGAGCCGCAGGGAAACCGAGUCUUAACUGGGCGUUAAGUUGCAGGGUAUAGACCCGAAACCCGGUGAUCUAGCCAUGGGCAGGUUGAAGGUUGGGUAACACUAACUGGAGGACCGAACCGACUAAUGUUGAAAAAUUAGCGGAUGACUUGUGGCUGGGGGUGAAAGGCCAAUCAAACCGGGAGAUAGCUGGUUCUCCCCGAAAGCUAUUUAGGUAGCGCCUCGUGAAUUCAUCUUCGGGGGUAGAGCACUGU